GGUUAAGCGACUAAGCGUACACGGUGGAUGCCCUGGCAGUCAGAGGCGAUGAAGGACGUGCUAAUCUGCGAUAAGCGUCGGUAAGGUGAUAUGAACCGUUAUAACCGGCGAUUUCCGAAUGGGGAAACCCAGUGUGAUUCGUCACACUAUCAUUAACUGAAUCCAUAGGUUAAUGAGGCGAACCGGGGGAACUGAAACAUCUAAGUACCCCGAGGAAAAGAAAUCAACCGAGAUUCCCCCAGUAGCGGCGAGCGAACGGGGAGCAGCCCAGAGCCUGAAUCAGUGUGUGUGUUAGUGGAAGCGUCUGGAAAGGCGCGCGAUACAGGGUGACAGCCCCGUACACAAAAAUGCACAUACUGUGAGCUCGAUGAGUAGGGCGGGACACGUGGUAUCCUGUCUGAAUAUGGGGGGACCAUCCUCCAAGGCUAAAUACUCCUGACUGACCGAUAGUGAACCAGUACCGUGAGGGAAAGGCGAAAAGAACCCCGGCGAGGGGAGUGAAAAAGAACCUGAAACCGUGUACGUACAAGCAGUGGGAGCACGCUUAGGCGUGUGACUGCGUACCUUUUGUAUAAUGGGUCAGCGACUUAUAUUCUGUAGCAAGGUUAACCGAAUAGGGGAGCCGAAGGGAAACCGAGUCUUAACUGGGCGUUAAGUUGCAGGGUAUAGACCCGAAACCCGGUGAUCUAGCCAUGGGCAGGUUGAAGGUUGGGUAACACUAACUGGAGGACCGAACCGACUAAUGUUGAAAAAUUAGCGGAUGACUUGUGGCUGGGGUGAAAGGCCAAUCAAACCGGGAGAUAGCUGGUUCUCCCCGAAAGCUAUUUAGGUAGCGCCUCGUGAAUUCAUCUCCGGGGGUAGAGCACUGUUUCGGCAAGGGGGUCAUCCCGACUUACCAACCCGAUGCAAACUGCGAAUACCGGAGAAUGUUAUCACGGGAGACACACGGCGGGUGCUAACGUCCGUCGUGAAGAGGGAAACAACCCAGACCGCCAGCUAAGGUCCCAAAGUCAUGGUUAAGUGGGAAACGAUGUGGGAAGGCCCAGACAGCCAGGAUGUUGGCUUAGAAGCAGCCAUCAUUUAAAGAAAGCGUAAUAGCUCACUGGUCGAGUCGGCCUGCGCGGAAGAUGUAACGGGGCUAAACCAUGCACCGAAGCUGCGGCAGCGACGCUUAUGCGUUGUUGGGUAGGGGAGCGUUCUGUAAGCCUGCGAAGGUGUGCUGUGAGGCAUGCUGGAGGUAUCAGAAGUGCGAAUGCUGACAUAAGUAACGAUAAAGCGGGUGAAAAGCCCGCUCGCCGGAAGACCAAGGGUUCCUGUCCAACGUUAAUCGGGGCAGGGUGAGUCGACCCUAAGGCGAGGCCGAAAGGCGUAGUCGAUGGGAAACAGGUUAAUAUUCCUGUACUUGGUGUUACUGCGAAGGGGGGACGGAGAAGGCUAUGUUGGCCGGGCGACGGUUGUCCCGGUUUAAGCGUGUAGGCUGGUUUUCCAGGCAAAUCCGGAAAAUCAAGGCUGAGGCGUGAUGACGAGGCACUACGGUGCUGAAGCAACAAAUGCCCUGCUUCCAGGAAAAGCCUCUAAGCAUCAGGUAACAUCAAAUCGUACCCCAAACCGACACAGGUGGUCAGGUAGAGAAUACCAAGGCGCUUGAGAGAACUCGGGUGAAGGAACUAGGCAAAAUGGUGCCGUAACUUCGGGAGAAGGCACGCUGAUAUGUAGGUGAAGUCCCUCGCGGAUGGAGCUGAAAUCAGUCGAAGAUACCAGCUGGCUGCAACUGUUUAUUAAAAACACAGCACUGUGCAAACACGAAAGUGGACGUAUACGGUGUGACGCCUGCCCGGUGCCGGAAGGUUAAUUGAUGGGGUCAGCGCAAGCGAAGCUCUUGAUCGAAGCCCCGGUAAACGGCGGCCGUAACUAUAACGGUCCUAAGGUAGCGAAAUUCCUUGUCGGGUAAGUUCCGACCUGCACGAAUGGCGUAAUGAUGGCCAGGCUGUCUCCACCCGAGACUCAGUGAAAUUGAACUCGCUGUGAAGAUGCAGUGUACCCGCGGCAAGACGGAAAGACCCCGUGAACCUUUACUAUAGCUUGACACUGAACAUUGAGCCUUGAUGUGUAGGAUAGGUGGGAGGCUUUGAAGUGUGGACGCCAGUCUGCAUGGAGCCGACCUUGAAAUACCACCCUUUAAUGUUUGAUGUUCUAACGUUGACCCGUGAUCCGGGUUGCGGACAGUGUCUGGUGGGUAGUUUGACUGGGGCGGUCUCCUCCUAAAGAGUAACGGAGGAGCACGAAGGUUGGCUAAUCCUGGUCGGACAUCAGGAGGUUAGUGCAAUGGCAUAAGCCAGCUUGACUGCGAGCGUGACGGCGCGAGCAGGUGCGAAAGCAGGUCAUAGUGAUCCGGUGGUUCUGAAUGGAAGGGCCAUCGCUCAACGGAUAAAAGGUACUCCGGGGAUAACAGGCUGAUACCGCCCAAGAGUUCAUAUCGACGGCGGUGUUUGGCACCUCGAUGUCGGCUCAUCACAUCCUGGGGCUGAAGUAGGUCCCAAGGGUAUGGCUGUUCGCCAUUUAAAGUGGUACGCGAGCUGGGUUUAGAACGUCGUGAGACAGUUCGGUCCCUAUCUGCCGUGGGCGCUGGAGAAUUGAGGGGGGCUGCUCCUAGUACGAGAGGACCGGAGUGGACGCAUCACUGGUGUUCGGGUUGUCAUGCCAAUGGCACUGCCCGGUAGCUAAAUGCGGAAGAGAUAAGUGCUGAAAGCAUCUAAGCACGAAACUUGCCCCGAGAUGAGUUCUCCCUGACCCUUUAAGGGUCCUGAAGGAACGUUGAAGACGACGACGUUGAUAGGCCGGGUGUGUAAGCGCAGCGAUGCGUUGAGCUAACCGGUACUAAUGAACCGUGAGGCUUAACCUU
Molecule: ribosomal RNA, 2902 nt
Filed under: Escherichia coli
Lineage: Bacteria; Pseudomonadati; Pseudomonadota; Gammaproteobacteria; Enterobacterales; Enterobacteriaceae
Description: 23S ribosomal RNA
Rfam family: Bacterial large subunit ribosomal RNA
Source: RNAcentral